GACGAACGCUGGCGGCGUGCUUAACGCAUGCAAGUCGAACGGAAAGGCCCUGCUUUUGUGGGGUGCUCGAGUGGCGAACGGGUGAGUAACACGUGAGUAACCUGCCCUUGACUUUGGGAUAACUUCAGGAAACUGGGGCUAAUACCGGAUAGGAGCUCCUGCUGCAUGGUGGGGGUUGGAAAGUUUCGGCGGUUGGGGAUGGACUCGCGGCUUAUCAGCUUGUUGGUGGGGUAGUGGCUUACCAAGGCUUUGACGGGUAGCCGGCCUGAGGGUGACCGGCCAAAUGGGGACGGGGAUACGGCCCAGAUUCUUACGGGGGGCAGAGGUGGGGAUUAUUGCACAAGGGGCGGAGGCCGGAUGCAGCAACGCCGCGUGCGGGAUGACGGCCUUCGGGUGGUAAACCGCUUUCGCCGGUGACGAGGCGUGGGUGACGUUAAUGGUAAAGAAGCACCGGCUAACUACGUG
Molecule: ribosomal RNA, 465 nt
Filed under: uncultured bacterium
Lineage: Bacteria
Description: partial 16S ribosomal RNA
Rfam family: Bacterial small subunit ribosomal RNA
Source: RNAcentral